UGGGGAAUAUUGCACAAUGGGCGCAAGCCUGAUGCAGCCAUGCCGCGUGUAUGAAGAAGGCCUUCGGGUUGUAAAGUACUUUCAGCGGGGAUGAAGGCGAUGCGGUUAAUAACCGCGUCGAUUGACGUUACCCGCAGCAGAAGCACCGGCUAACUCCGUGCCAGCAGCCGCGGGAAUAAGGAGGGAGCAAGCGUUAAUCGGAAUUACUGGGCGUAAAGCGCACGCAGGCGGUCUGUCAAGUCGGAUGUGAAAUCCCCGGGCUCAACCUGGGAACUGCAUCCGAAACUGGCAGGCUUGAGUCUCGUAGAGGGGGGUAGAAUUCCAGGUGUAGCGGUGAAAUGCGUAGAGAUCUGGAGGAAUACCGGUGGCGAAGGCGGCCCCCUGGACGAAGACUGACGCUCAGGUGCGAAAGCGUGGGGAGCAAACA
This 427-nucleotide ribosomal RNA is filed under the name uncultured bacterium. RNAcentral's name for it is "partial 16S ribosomal RNA". It matches the Rfam family "Bacterial small subunit ribosomal RNA", at positions 355 to 774 of the family's 1533-position model. The record is from RNAcentral.